Long non-coding RNA from Marmota monax (woodchuck), 6067 nucleotides. RefSeq lists it as uncharacterized. NCBI's taxonomy places the organism in Eukaryota, Metazoa, Chordata, Mammalia, Rodentia, Sciuridae. The record is from RefSeq and is a predicted model, not a curated record. The transcript has 2 exons.
CCCAUCCUGUGUGAGGAAGAGGUUGGGGUCACUCACCUCUGCAGGCCCAGUCCUGGUAGGGGUCUCAGACCCGCUCAGGGGGGCGGUCCCAUGGGGGCUCAGCUGGCCGGCACAUCAUCUGUUCCCACCUCAGGGAGCUCUGGUCCCCCAUGGAAGCUGCGGGAGGGGUCCAGCCUCCAGGAGGGCUCUCUCCCGACUCCCAGCUCCAUACUGAGGAGGGACCCGAGGCUGCAGGAAGACAGCUUCUCCGGUCCUGGGCCUGGCUGGUGGGAUGGGGUUCCCCCAGGCUGGGACGGCGCCCUCCCCAGUCUAAGCCAAGGCUCUGCCAAUCUGAGCUGAAGCUUUUUAUCUGCAGCCCAAAGCCCAGAGGGGUGAGGGGUUCCCCGACACCAAAUGCUGCCCCAGCCCCACCUUCCACGUGGGACCCUCUCUGUAGGCCCCCACUCCUUCAUUCACCCAAGACUGAUCUCAGCAGGGCUGAGCUGGGCACAGAGACAAAGGGCAGUACCGCAGUGACCCUGUGCGGUUCGUGAAGAGGGUGGGUGAGGACAGCUUUCGGUGAUGCCAUUUUUUUUUUUUUAAAGAGAGAGAGAGAGAGAGGUGGGGGGAGGGAGAGAGAGAAGGAUUUUUUUUUAAAUAUUUAUUUUUAGUUUUCGGCGGACACAACAUCUUUGUUUGUAUGUGGUGCUGAGGAUCGAACCCGGGCCGCACGCAUGGCAGGCGAGCGCGCUACCGCUUGAGCCACAUCCCCAGCCCAAGUGAUGCCAGUUUUCAGAGAAGCCAACUGAGGACAGGGAGCAAAAUGAGGCCUAAACCCUCGACGUCAACCCUGAGGACCCAGCAGCCAACUGCCUCCCACAUCAGGACACACCCAGCAAGCACUGGCCUGCCCUUCCCUGUCCCCCUCCCCCUGCCCUGGGGCUGCUUCUAUCAGAUGAGUUCGGCCCCAUUUCCCAGCCCCACCUGUGGACAGAUGCAAACCAGGUGGCCGCCUCCCUCCCUUCACCUCCAGACAGCAGACCACAGCAGCUUCCUGCUGGCGCCUCACCCCGGAACCACAGAAGAGGUCCAGGUCCCCAGCAUGGCUGCAGAGGUCUGGGGCCAGCCUUGCUGGCUGCCCGCCCCCCAGCCCUUGCCACUCCUUCCACAGGGAGCACAUACCCAGGUUGCUCCCAGGGCUUCCCACGUGCUGUCCCUGCCUUUCCUCUCCAGAUAGCCCUAGCCCUCAGCAGUCCCCAUUGUCCCAAACCCUCGGUUUCCUGUCACCCACACUCCUUGGUGCUUAGGUCUGUCUGGUCCAGCCAGUGGAGGGACCUGGCAGGGACAGAUGGGCUGCAAGGGCACCAUGUCUUCCCAGGAGCACAGGAACCUCCCAAGGUCUCUGGACAUUCACUCUCCUGGGGGGGUAGCGGGCUCCUGCUGACCCCCAUGACCCAUGUUCUCCCUUGAACCCAUGUUCUCCCUUUCUUACUUUACCCCCAAAGACGUCUUUUCCCUGACAAGAGCUCACAUCUUCCCUGAAUGUGUAUCUGCUUUCCAAAACAAAUGAGUAGGUGUUUCUGGGGAAAAGAAAGAAGAGGGGGUGGGAGGCCACGCCCACCCAGACACACAGGCCUUCAGAGGAAGCUCAGGGUGCAGGCUGCCUGCGGUGCUCGGCUCCCUCGGCCUGAGUCCCGUCCUUGUGUGGAUGGAGAGUUGGGGACCUGGGCACAGGGCCUGGUUAAAAGCAGGGAGCCCACAGCCUCCCACCUCCCCAGGUUUCCAGCUCCGAGGGUCUCCACAUUGUGUGCCUGCCACCGAGGUGGGCGGGGCCCACUGCGGGUGCUGGGGCAGGGCUGCUCAGGGGAAGCCCAGCGGCCCUCUGAGCAGGUUGCGGAGGCCUGACGAACCCCGGGGAUUAUCCAGCCUGAGCUAAGGGCACAGAACCUGGAGGCGUCAAUAGCACACUAGGGGCUCUCGCCCUUUGACACACGGUGAUUCCAAGGCCUGAAGGUAGACAAGAGCUGCCAGCUACACACAGAAUGACACAGACACACAGUGUGGCCAUUCACAUGGCACUGUCCAUCACAACCAAGUGGACACAUCAAGACCCGCUGAAGAGCAUGGCAUGAAAACCAGGAGGCACUACUAGCAGCCCACCACAGAACCCCCACCCAGGGCCCCCACCCAGUGCUGACACAAGAAGCCUGUCUACGACAGAGGGGCCACCCUGCGCCUGCCCAUCCAGAUGAGAGAUGGCCCCCUUCUGUUUUUUUUUGGUAUUGCGGAUGGAACCCAGGGGCACUUAACCACAAAGCCACACCCCCAGCCCUUUUUAUAUUUUAUUUAGAGACUGGGUCUCACUAAGUUGCCUAUGGCCUCGCUAAGUCGCUGAGACUGGCUUUGAACUCAUGAUCCUCCUGCCUCAGCCUCCUGAGUCUCGGGGAUGACAGGCAUGCGCCACCACACCUGGCAAAUGGCCCCCUUCUUACAUUCUACUGUCUUCUGUCAAGGUGAGUCCUGGGUGACACUCUUGUUCUCCCCUCCACCACUUCCUCCCCCAAACUAUGGGGAGGACAGAGAUCAGCACAGGUUGAUGGGAAGGAGCAGCUGUCCCCACCCGUCCUUCUUGUCAGUGCCAUCUGGGUCAUGUCAAGAGUGGUGGAGGCCUGGUUUCCCUGGGGAGCAGUCUCCCAGCCCAAACUCGCCAAGCGCUGCUCCCAGUGAGGCACUUCCUGGUUCAGGGACUGGCCAGAGGCUUGGGGCCAUUCGGCCUUGGUGCUGCCCCCCGCAGUGGCUUGGACAUUUCCUGACACGUGGCCCCUCAGAGUCCAGACAGCAUCCACAGCUGAAGGCAGCAGAGGUGGACAGGGAGGGUCAGUCCUCCCAUGGAGGUAGCUGCCCCUGCCACACAGCCAUGCAUGUGCCGUAAGUGCCCCCAGGCCUAAGUCCUUCUAGGCCAAGGGUGGCCCCCACAGACAUAGUGGCCGACGCAGGUGGGCAGAAUGACCUGGGUGGUCAGCACCCGACAGGGCAGCUUUCCUGUGCCACAGGUGUAAGGCCCAGGUGCUUCAGGGACUCGAGGCCUGGCCAGACGCUGUCCCACCACUCCUCCCCGCCCUCAGCAGUAGCUGAAGGUUCCUGUCACCCUUCCACAAGGCCCACGCAGGGCUCCCGCCCACUGGGAAGUGAGAAUGCUGGGUGGCAGCGUGCACUCCGGAUGCUGCGCCCACCCAGUCCCCACCCCACGACAGUGCUGCCGGCUCGAAGGUGGCCCUUGCCAAACCGCUCGAUCGGUGCACGGCCUCCGCCCUCCCUGCCACCUCCCCCACCGCUUCCAGGGAUGGCCGGGCCCUCACCCUGGACGUGCAGAUCACCUCCCGCAGGUUGAUGUUCAUCCAGUUGUCACAGCUCACCAGGUGCCCAUUGUACGUCUCCCCAUUCUUGAGCUCCACCAACUAGAAGGGAAAUGGACGAUGGUCAUUGGCCCCAGUCCCACUGGCAACCACCGCCAGGGCCUUGUUGGGACCCCCGCAGGGCAGGGCUGCAGCACCAGACCCCAGAGUGGUCCUUCCUGAGGACAAGCUCGGCUUGCUCUGCACACCGUGGAGAUGACGUCAGACCUUCUAUGAGGACAGUGACUUUUUUUUUUAAUAUUUAUUUUUUAGUUUUCAGUGGACACAACAUAUUUAUUUUUUAUUUUUAUGUGGUGCUGAGGAUCGAACCCAGCGCCCCGAGCAUGCCAGGCGAGCGCGAUUCCGCUUGAGCCACAUCUCCAGCCCCAGGGGACAGUGACUUUUAUUUGAUUAAAACUUACUUUUUCUUUCUAGAUGGCCUUUUUUUUCGGGGGUGGGGUACAGACAAUUGAACUUGGGCAUUCGACCCCUGAGUCCCAUCCUGAGCCCUAUUUUGUAUUUUAUUUAGAGACAGGGUCUCACUGAGCUGCUCAGCACCUCGCUUUUACUGAGGCUGGCUUUGAACUCGCCAUCCUCCUGCCUCAGCCUCCUGAGCUGCUGGGAUAACAGGUGUGUGCCACACCCCCGGCUCCAGAUGGCCUUUUUAAAAAAAAAGCCUUUAUUUGUUCUUUUUAGAUAUACACGACAGUGGAAUGUGUUCUGACGUAUCAGGCAAACUUGAAGUCUAACCUCCCCUUCUUGUGGUUGUCCACAAUGUGGAGUGACACUGGUUGUAUAUUCAUAUAUUCAUUAAAAAAAAAUCUUUUAAGCCCAGUGCAGCAGCGAAUGCCUGCAAUCAAACUGCAAUCCCAGCAAUUUGAGAGGCUGAUGCAGGAGGGUGGCACAUUCAAGGCCAGCCUCAGCAACUUAAUGAGACCCUGUCUUGAAAUUAAAAAUAAAAAAGGCUGGGGAUAGAAUUCAGUGGCAUGCACUUGCCUACCACCCCCCCAUUUGUGGUCCUGGGGUUCAAAUCCAGGAGUUAGGAGCACAGGUUAGGGUCAGGAGCACAGGUCAGUGGCAGGGCACAUGCUUAUCAGGCCUGAGGCCCUGGGCUCAAGUCCCAGCACCACAAAUAAAUCAAAUUAAAUAAAUAAAACUUCAUAUUGGGGGGCUAGGAUUAUGGCUCAGCGGUAGAGCGCUCGCCUAGCACGGUCAGGACCCGGGUUCGAUCCUCAGCACCUCAUAAAAAUAAAGGCAUUGUGUUGUGUCCAUCUACACCUAAAAAAUAAAUAUUAAAAAAAAACUUCAUAUUGAAUAAAUAUUUAAUAAAAAUAUUUUAAAACUUAAAAAAUAGAGAUUAAAGCCAAGAUGCACUUAACCACUGGUUUUUAAAAUUUUUAUUUCUUUCUUGGGUACCAGGGAUUGAACUCAGGGCACUCAACCACUGAGCCACAUCCCCAGCCCUAUUUUGUAUUUUAUUUAGAGACGGUCUCACUGAGUUGCUUAGCACCUUGCUUUUGCUGAGGCUGGCUUUGAACUCACAAUCCUCCUGCCUCAGCCUCCAGAGCUGCUGGGAUUAUAGGUGUGCGUCACCACGCCUGACUAUGUGGACUUUGGUGGCCUGGAAAUGCUGUUCCUCACAGCAACAAUAAUUGCCUUUUUUGAUGUGGUUUGAGGACAAAGGCAGACACCAGGGUACGUGCCGAGGCCAGGCCUGAGGGAGCUCCAGCAGCAAAGGAACACACAGUGGAGCCGGCUCCGCUGUGUGGCGUGUUGGUUACACUUGAAGAAAAAAAUGUAAAAGAGAAACAGCUCACUGAUGUGGACAGCGGCCACGUGUGUUAUUGAAGACAGAAGUAGUUUCGGGAGCAAAGUCCAUCCCCUGAUUCCCUUAUGUCUGCGGGGGCUGAACCCAGUGGUGCUCCACUACUGAGCUGCUAAGGAUCUCGCUAAGUUGCCCAGGCUGACCUUUAACCAAAUUCUCUUGCCCUGGCUGCUCAAGGGACGGGGAUCACAAGCUGCCACUGCGCAUGGCAGCACGUGCCACCUUCCUAAGGAGCAGAAACAUCUUGGGUGUGAACAUAGUUGGGAGGGAAGAGAGAACGAGCCUUGGUGUUCAGACAAGCAGGAAAUCCCCCAUCCAGAGGGGCCUGUCUCCACCCUCAACAUGUCCCCUCUGAACAGGCCACCUUAGCCCAGCACCUACUCACCAUGGGGUGGUUCUGAGCUGUCUUCAGCAGCGAUAAGGGAAGCUGCAAGGCAAACAAAGUCACGUGACUUGUCUGACCAGCACCCCCAAUGCCCCUUGGGAGUGCAGGAGCGAACCUGGACCACCCCAAACGACAGCGCCUCUCCUCCCUCAGCCCACCCCACCACACACACCCACCUCUUGGACCAGGAGUCUCAUGCCCUCCCCUCACAGAGGCAGCUGCCACCUGGCCUUGGUGCUGACCGUUCUGGUCAUUUCUUCACAACUCUUGCUACAUUUACCCACACCCAGUACAGAGCAGGGCCCUGCCUUCGGGUUUACAGACAGCAUCACAACACGGGUCCCUGUGUCGCCUGCAUUUUCUACUCGACCACACGGUGUCCGAGAUGCCUCUGCGCCUGUGACUGGCCUCUGCAUCAGGGGUACCCAACCAAAUGCAGAUGGAAAAUAUUUGAAGAAAAUAAAAUUGUGUCUGUACUGGAGA